Molecule: long non-coding RNA, 1122 nt
Filed under: Pan troglodytes (chimpanzee)
Lineage: Eukaryota; Metazoa; Chordata; Mammalia; Primates; Hominidae
Description: long non-coding RNA NONPTRT009201
Source: RNAcentral
UGCAGGUCUCCAAGGGCGGUGCUUGGUAGAUCUGAUGAUGCCUUUUUCAGCAGUGAGCCUCCUGUCCAUGGCACAUUUUAAGCUCCCCCUUUCUACUUGUGCUGCUGGAAGUGGGACUGGAAGUGGGUGUAGGUCCUCUGAGGGUGGGGGUGAUGACUCUCUGCAGGGUGGGUGUACUGGUGCCACGACAAACAGUGAGCCUCCCAUCCCUGGAGGCAUUCAGGCCCCACUUUGUAAGCUGCGGUGGGGGUUGAAGGUUGGGGUGUAGUCUCUGAGGUGCCAGCUGUGCCUGUACCUAUGUGCCCUCCCUGCAGCCUGCACGUGGAAUGGGCGUCCCUGCAGCCUGUCUGUGCACAUCGACAAGGGCUUCACACUGUGGGCGGCUGAGCCAGGUGCAGCCCGAGCUGUGCUCCUGCGACAGCCCUUCGAGAAGCUGCAGAUGUCUUCAGAUGACGGUGCCAGUCUCCUUUUCCUGGAUUUUGGAGGUGCUGAAGGCGAGAUCCAGCUGGACCUGCACUCGUGUCCCAAAACCAUAGUCUUCAUCAUCCACUCCUUCCUGUCGGCCAAAGUCACCCGCCUCGGGCUGUUGGCCUAGAAGUCGCCGGAUGCACUAGCCCUGAAGAGGGGUGUCCAUGACAUGGCCUGAGCUGGGCCUCCACCGACUGCCUGCUCACCCCUGGGCUGAGGGAAGGGAGAGGAGAGGAACAAGGGCCUCCGAGACCCCACCCCUGAGGGAGACUGGAUUGGUCUUGGGGCCCAGGACCCAGACGCAGGACAGAGUGGACUCUGCCUGUGAUGGGGUGGCCUUCCUGCUGCCCCCCUCCACCAGUGCCUUUUGCAGAGAGAUAUUUUGUGUACACAGAAGCCAUUCCGAGUCUGGGACCUGCCCCUGUGCGGAUCCUGACCCCAGCCAACAGCUGAGCUGCCAGGCCUCCUCGAGGCCCCUAAGCCAUCCCCAGAGGUCCCAUCUGAAGCUGGAGUACCCUGGGGUCAGCAAAAGAGAAAGAAGAGGAGAUUUUCUGUUUGUUUUUCCCCUCAGCCCUGCCACCGUGGGGAGUCUGGUUUUUCUCUUCAUCCUCUCUCUCUCCUCCUUACUCUUGGAUAAAUAAACAGCCUGUGAGC